Molecule: ribosomal RNA, 110 nt
Filed under: Lepisosteus oculatus (spotted gar)
Lineage: Eukaryota; Metazoa; Chordata; Actinopteri; Semionotiformes; Lepisosteidae
Source: RNAcentral
ACCAGCAGCCAUAUCACCCUGCAACUCACAACUAGCAGCCCACUGAAGCUAAGCAGGUGUGAGCCUGGUCAGUACCUGGAUGGGAGACCAGCAGAAGGUUGCUGCUGGAA